Molecule: long non-coding RNA, 475 nt
Organism: Arachis duranensis
Lineage: Eukaryota; Viridiplantae; Streptophyta; Magnoliopsida; Fabales; Fabaceae
Exons: 6
Source: RefSeq, a predicted model, not a curated record
GGCUGAGUCAGGGGUGAAAAAAUUCAGCCUAAACAUCAAGAAGACUGGAAAAGGUGUGCUCCCUAAAAAUGAAAAAGGUCCAUAUUACUAAUGCUAAAAUAUGGAAUGCAUAGGAUCUAAGUAUCAAGGAACUGGCUGAAUAGAUCAGCUUGAGAAGGGAAUGGUACGCAUAAAAGAAGAUCUAUCUUUGAAGCAUAUUUUAGAUGAGAUAGAGACGGGUGGUCCUACUGCUAUGAUGAGGUUGUUUGUGCAAUUUGUAACACUGAGCAGCCGAUAGGAAAACAACAGAUUCAUUGUGAUGAGUGUGAAAUCUGUAGGGUUGGUGGUCAAGAGAACUAUUUCCACUGUGAAAAGUGUGGGUCAUGCUAUUUAGUUACACUACGUGACAAUCAUUUGUGUGGAGAACUCCAUGGGCAUGUGCAUUACUGAAGCUGCUGUUAUUGCAAUUAUGUAGUUAUAUGAUAUUAAAACAUUG